RNAcentral lists this ribosomal RNA (253 nucleotides) under uncultured bacterium. Its description in RNAcentral is "partial 16S ribosomal RNA". It matches the Rfam family "Bacterial small subunit ribosomal RNA", at positions 524 to 776 of the family's 1533-position model. The record is from RNAcentral.
UACAGAGGGGGCAAGCGUUGUUCGGAAUUACUGGGCGUAAAGGGCGCGUAGGCGGCCUUUUAAGUCGAACGUGAAAUCCCCGGGCUCAACCCGGGAACUGCGUUCGAGACUGAUUGGCUUGAAUCCGGGAGAGGGAUGCGGAAUUCCAGGUGUAGCGGUGAAAUGCGCAGAUAUCGGGAGGAACACCAGUGGCGAAGGCGGCGCUCUGGGCCGGAACUGACGCUGAGGAGCGAAAGCGUGGGUAGCAAACAGG